Molecule: ribosomal RNA, 521 nt
Filed under: Bacillus altitudinis
Lineage: Bacteria; Bacillati; Bacillota; Bacilli; Caryophanales; Bacillaceae
Description: partial 16S ribosomal RNA
Rfam family: Bacterial small subunit ribosomal RNA
Source: RNAcentral
CCUGCCUGUAAGACUGGGAUAACUCCGGGAAACCGGAGCUAUUACCGGAUAGUUCCUUGAACCGCAUGGUUCAAGGAUGAAAAACAGUUUCGGCUGUCACUUACAAAUGGACCCCCGGCGCAUUAUCUAUUUGGUGAGGUAACGGCUCACCCAGGCGACAAUACGUAUCCCACCUGAGAGGGUGAUCGGCCACAUGGGACUGAGACACGGCCCCCACUCCUACGGGAGGCGGCACUAGGGAAUCUUCCGCAAUGGACGAAAAUCUGACAGAGCAACGCCGCGUGAGUGAUAAAAGUGUUCUGAUCUUAAAACUCUGUUGUGAGGGAAAAACAAAUGCAAGAGUAACUGUGUGUACCUUGACGGUACCUAACAACAAAACCCACGGGUUAACUAAUGCCCCCACCCCGCCGGUGAUUACAUAUGGUGGCAAACCGUUUUUCCGGAAAUAUUGGGGCGUAAAAGGGCUCCGCAGGGGGGUUUUUUUAUUCCUGAUGUGAAAACCCCGGUCCUCCACCCGGGGA